CUAGAUUCAAAGCAUUCGACUCAACGAACUUUCUAAAAAUGGCUUCAGUAGUAAAAACUCUGUCCCUUUGCUUGUGCCUCUUUGCAUUUGUUACACUGGAAAUCAAAGCCCAAACCAUCGAUCGCACUUCGGAGUUUCAAGCCCUCUGUGAGAGAUA
Long non-coding RNA from Strongylocentrotus purpuratus (purple sea urchin), 157 nucleotides. RefSeq lists it as uncharacterized. NCBI's taxonomy places the organism in Eukaryota, Metazoa, Echinodermata, Echinoidea, Camarodonta, Strongylocentrotidae. The record is from RefSeq and is a predicted model, not a curated record. The transcript is spliced from 3 exons.